RNAcentral lists this ribosomal RNA (377 nucleotides) under uncultured bacterium. RNAcentral describes it as "bacterial SSU rRNA". It matches the Rfam family "Bacterial small subunit ribosomal RNA", at positions 524 to 898 of the family's 1533-position model. The record is from RNAcentral.
GACAGAGGCCACGAACGUUGUUCGGAAUCACUGGGCAUAAAGCGCACGUAGGCGGCUGGGUCCGUCCGAUGUGAAAGCCCCCGGCUCAACCGGGGAAUUGCAUCGGAUACAGCCCGGCUUGAGGACGGUUGGGGUGAGUGGAACUCCUGGUGGAGCGGUGAAAUGCGUAGAUAUCAGGAGGAACACCGGUGGCGAAAGCGGCUCACUGGACCGUAACUGACGCUGAGGUGCGAAAGCUAGGGGAGCAAACGGGAUUAGAUACCCCGGUAGUCCUAGCUGUAAACGAUGGGCACUGGGUAGGGGGGAAGCCUAUGCUCUUCCCUGCCGAAGCAAAUGUGUUAAGUGCCCCGCCUGGGGAGUACGCUCGCAAGGGUAAA